UUUUGCACCUGAGUCUGACAUCGUAGGAGGACCAUUCUUGCAUCAGAUUGGAUUUUACACCUGAGUCUGACAUCGUAGAAGGACCAUUCUUUAUGCUUGUGUGUUUUCUUUAAUAAAGAUUAUUUUUUAAGUA
This is a long non-coding RNA of Dalotia coriaria, 133 nucleotides long. RefSeq lists it as uncharacterized. The record is from RefSeq and is a predicted model, not a curated record. The transcript has 2 exons. NCBI's taxonomy places the organism in Eukaryota, Metazoa, Arthropoda, Insecta, Coleoptera, Staphylinidae.